RNAcentral lists this ribosomal RNA (628 nucleotides) under Pichia manshurica. RNAcentral describes it as "eukaryotic LSU rRNA". It matches the Rfam family "Eukaryotic large subunit ribosomal RNA", at positions 34 to 688 of the family's 3401-position model. Lineage: Eukaryota; Fungi; Ascomycota; Pichiomycetes; Pichiales; Pichiaceae. The record is from RNAcentral.
UUAAGCAUAUCAAUAAGCGGAGGAAAAGAAACCAACAGGGAUUGCCCCAGUAGCGGCGAGUGAAGCGGCAAGAGCUCAGAUUUGAAAUCGUGUUUCGGCACGAGUUGUAGAGUGUAGGCGGGAGUCUCUGUGGAGCGCGGUGUCCAAGUCCCUUGGAACAGGGUGCCUGAGAGGGUGAGAGCCCCGUAGGGUGCUGCGCGAAGCUUUUGAGGCCCUGCUGACGAGUCGAGUUGUUUGGGAAUGCAGCUCCAAGCGGGUGGUAAAUUCCAUCUAAGGCUAAAUAUUGGCGAGAGACCGAUAGCGAACAAGUACUGUGAAGGAAAGAUGAAAAGCACUUUGAAAAGAGAGUGAAACAGCACGUGAAAUUGUUGAAAGGGAAGGGUAUUGGGCUCGACAUGGGGGGUGCGCACCGCUGUCUCUUGUAGGCGGCGCUCUGGGCGCCCUCUGGGCCAGCAUCGGUUCCUGCUGCGGGAGAAGGGGCUCCGGAAAGUGGCUCUUCGGAGUGUUAUAGCCGGGGCCAGAUGCCGCGUGUGGGGACCGAGGACUGCGGCUUCUGUCUCGGAUGCUGGCAUAACGGCGCAAUACCGCCCGUCUUGAAACAUGGACCAAGGAGUCUAACGUCUAUGCG